Molecule: ribosomal RNA, 468 nt
Filed under: uncultured bacterium
Lineage: Bacteria
Description: partial 16S ribosomal RNA
Rfam family: Bacterial small subunit ribosomal RNA
Source: RNAcentral
GACGAACGCUGGCGGCGUGCUUAACACAUGCAAGUCGAACGGAAAGGCCCUGCUUUUGUGGGGUGCUCGAGUGGCGAACGGGUGAGUAACCCGUGAGUAACCUGCCCUUGACUUUGGGAUAACUUCAGGAAACUGGGGCUAAUACCGCAUAGGAGCUCCUGCUGCAUGGUGGGGGUUGGAAAGUUUCGGCGGUUGGGGAUGGACUCGCGGCUUAUCAGCUUGUUGGUGGGGUAGUGGCUUACCAAGGCUUUGACGGGUAGCCGGCCUGAGCGGGUCACCGGCCCAAUCACGAUGGGACUGCGACCCAGACUCGAACGGUAGGGAAGAGAGCGGAGGGUAGCAUAGUAGGCGGAGGGCUGGUGUAACAACGCCACGUGCGGGAUGACGGCAAUGGGGUUGUAUUCCACUGUCGCCUGUGACGAUGCGAUAGUGACGGUACUGGGUGAAGAAGCACCGGCUAACUACGUG